This 716-nucleotide long non-coding RNA is filed under the name Lathyrus oleraceus (garden pea). RNAcentral describes it as "Pisum sativum (pea) long non-coding RNA (PSAT_LNC037027)". The record is from RNAcentral. Lineage: Eukaryota; Viridiplantae; Streptophyta; Magnoliopsida; Fabales; Fabaceae.
UUUUUUAUAGUUUUCAAAUGGCUUCAAACACAUGAUGCAAUUAAAAAGAAAAAACAAAUCUAUGUUAUUAAACAAUAAUAAAAGCUAUGAGUAAUAAAACAUAAACGUAAAAGAAAAAACUACACAUAGGGGUAUCGAACCCACUACACUAAAGACCUAGACACCACUCCCCUCCACCAGACCACUUACUAACUAAUUGUUAUCUUAAUGCUAACUUAAAUAUAUAAACUAAGAUAGAUUAAAAAAGAAUUAAAAUAAAAAACUAAAUAAUAAAAAAAAACUGUUGGUCUACUAGUAAUUAAACCCAGUCGCAUGGCUGUUGGGUUUACAAAGGGGAAUAAGUUGGAAAUGGUAAAAAAAGAAUCAUAGUUAAUUACCAAUAUUAAUAUCUACAUCCAAAAGUCACUAAAUUGAAUUAAAAGGUUUUUAACCAGACUUAAAGUGAAUAAUAAAUAAAAAAGAAGUUGAAACGAAUUGGACAGAACUCUUCCUCUCUCAAAGCUCUCAAUCUCGUCCUCUCCAUCGCUCUCACCAUCUCACGAUUUUUCUCACCUGUAUCUCUCAAUCUCACGAUCGUUUAACCUCACUCACCGCCGCUCACUCAUCGCCGCUCUCCACUUCUCUCACCCUAUAACGCAAGGGUCCAAGGUUUAAGGAGAAACAAGAAGAAAAAAGCUCACCUUUGGCGAAAACUACGGAGACGAUGAAGAUUCAAA